RNAcentral lists this unclassified non-coding RNA (235 nucleotides) under uncultured fungus. Its description in RNAcentral is "sequence contains ITS1". The record is from RNAcentral. Lineage: Eukaryota; Fungi.
UAUUGUAUUGCGUUAAACGCAGAUGCAUUCCAUGAGACUUUGUUACAGUGUGUGUGUAAAAGAUGCAGAACCACAGCAGGAGGACAAGGCCCCCCAACCACAGAACUACAGAGGGUGCACAGGGUGUGAGUGGAUGGAUGUGUUAACAGAGCGUGCACAUGCCCCUGUUUGAGGACCAGCAACAACUCUUGUUGACAAUUCGGUAAUGAUCCUUCCGCAGGUUCACCUACGGAAA